CCUUGCUUCUCACUCAGAAGCGGCUCCCAUGCUUCCUCUUUCGGCCCCAUGAUCCAAUGAGGCUCCCGUUCGUCAGGAUGGUGAUAUUCUACAAUCUGGCGUCAUUGGCUUUCUGAGAGGCAACAGGCGGAUUCUUUACCACUAGUGCCUCCUGGGAAGCCCUUUGAUCUAUUCCGGACACAAUUCUCUGUUCAGGCCUGAACCUCUGAGGGAGCUCCAGAACCAGGAAGUGACUAAUGAUAUUGCAUGAGAUAGAUUAACUUAAUUCUUUCAUCAUCAAUUUUUGUUUGUGACUACAUAGUAACAACCAUGAAAAUAGAGACUCAGUAUUCAUUGCUUGGAGCAGUUCUACUUUCCUGUUGUACAGCACUAAGAUGCGGCUAUGUUCCAUAACUUAAAGAAUGCAUACAUCGCCCACAAGGAUCAGAAUGAGUCAGCAAUAUACCCUUAUGCAAUGAAAGCAAAAAGAAGAAAAGUAGAGUUUCCAGCUUCUGACUUAGUAUGAUGUGAAUGGAUGGACUCCCCAACCAAGCAAAUUGAUGCUUUAAACUCAAUGUCACCUUAAUAAAUAUCUGUAUAAUAUUGGAAGAACAUGUUUUGCCACCAUCUGGUCUGUUUCAUCUUGAUAAUUUAAGUCUUAAAGGAGAAACUCUUCACUUUUUAUUUUUGCCUGAUAUCCUUUAUACUCACUCCCAUAGGAAAGGAUAAUGUUUAUUUCUCCCCAUGUUGAUGAUUCCAAUAACCAGUGUUGAAUAUGUGCAGAAUUUCAUUCCCAUUUUAGAUCUAUUUCUCAUAUUAUUUUUCAAAUCUGAUGUUUUGUAACAGCUAAAAGAAACAGUGAUUGCAAGUUAUUGUUCUUUUUUUUUUUUGUUUCUCAAAGUUCCACAGUUUCUCCCAUUCUUUCUCUCAUUUAUCAUUCUUUCCUCCAUUAUUUGCUUUCUCAUUCUGAGGAGACUCAUACAAACUUUCUUUAGUCAAAGUAUAAUUUAAGUUUGAUUUCAUAAGUUGAUUAUUGUGGGACCGGAUGACAGAAGAAACUUCCAAAAGAGCAUGCUUAAUACAGGAAGUGAGGUUAAUGAUUCAGUAGGCGAAACUUGUAUCUGACUCACCGUACCACCUAAUGAAGCGCUAUAUUCACAAUAGAGAUUUAGUAAAUGUUUGUUGUCUGAUUACUAUGCCACUGAUAAAUCCUGAGUAUAAGGAAAAUGCCAUGUAGAAAUCAUCUAUUUCAGUUCUAAAGAUUAGGAAACAGAAGCAGCAAGAAACCAAAUGACAUGUUUGAUGUGUGUAGUGAGUUCGUAGUAGAAACAUUUCUAUUAUUGGCUCUGUUUUUGUCCUGGCAUGUUUUCCUUUCACCUCUAUCUUUCUCAUCUUUUAAAAAUUUACAUUAUAUCACUACAUAUAUUUAUCUUUGAAAAUCUUCUUAGAUGACUUUUGUAACAAGGCAGUAAAAAAGAAUUGAUACCAACGCUUUAGAUUCAGAAAUGUACCUUUGCCAUCUAAACCGUAUUGCUGCUGCUGCUGCUGCUAAGUCACUUAGUCGUGUUAGACUCUGUGCAACCCCAUAGGUGGCAGCCCACCAGGCUCCUCUGUCCCUGGGAUUCUCCAGGCAAGAACACUGGAGUAGGUUGCCAUUUCCUUCUCCAUAUUGAGGAUAACACAAAUUGGAGGCCAAGUUUCAUGAAGUUGAUCAGAAACUAUGAGUAAUCUAUAACAACCAGUUCAGUCUAUCAAAGACACAGAAUCAAAUCUGCUAUUGUGUAGUGCUUUUCAAUUGUUCUGGUAGCCUCUGAAAAGUAGUCCAUUCUUGAAAGCACUCUCUGAAUUACCUUGCAUAGUUUAGCAGUGAAUCUUAAAUUUUCAGGAAGUCUAAGACAUCAUGAAAAUGCACAUACAUGCAUACCCACUGUAUUCUACAUAUAAUUUCAAUAAGUUUAUAAACCCCUGGAUCUGUUUGAGGACUUCUCAUAGCACCACGACAGAGUAAGAAUCUCUGGUUUAUAGAAGCAGUUUGUGAACCUACUCUUGUUGGUUCAUUUGCCAAAUUUUUUGUGGGGGGAAGAUGGAGGUGCCAUGUUGUCUAAUUUAGAUAUCUGUUUUAUGAAAUCUUAGUGGAAAAAUUAUUUCCUUUCAAAAUAGAGAAUACAUUUAAAAAAUCUGUGACUGCCAUUGCACAGGCUUAAUUUUCCUGUUAGA
This is a long non-coding RNA of Cervus elaphus (red deer), 2196 nucleotides long. RefSeq lists it as uncharacterized. The record is from RefSeq and is a predicted model, not a curated record. The transcript is spliced from 3 exons. NCBI's taxonomy places the organism in Eukaryota, Metazoa, Chordata, Mammalia, Artiodactyla, Cervidae.